GCAACGAGCGCAGCCCUUGCCUUUAGUUUGCCAUCAUUCAGUUUGGGCGACUCUAGAGGGACUGCCGGUGUCAAACCGGAGGAAGUGGGGAUGACGUCAAGUCCUCAUGGCCUUUAUGCCCAGGGCUACACACGUGCUACAAUGGGCGGUACAAAGAGCAGCGAGCUCGCGAGAGUAAGCAAAUCUCAAAAAGCCGUCCUCAGUUCGGAUUGGAGUCUGCAACUCGACUCCAUGAAGUUGGAAUCGCUAGUAAUCGCGGAUCAGCAUGCCGCGGUGAAUACGUUCCCGGGCCUU
Molecule: ribosomal RNA, 294 nt
Filed under: uncultured Syntrophaceae bacterium
Lineage: Bacteria; Pseudomonadati; Thermodesulfobacteriota; Syntrophia; Syntrophales; Syntrophaceae
Description: partial 16S ribosomal RNA
Rfam family: Bacterial small subunit ribosomal RNA
Source: RNAcentral